UUCCAUUCAAGUUACAUCACAUGAGCAAGAGUUGACACUAUCACAUUAUAAAGGCAAGACUUACGACUUUCGAACAAUAAGCUACGUUUCAUGGGUAAGCGUUGAUACUACUACAUUGUAGAGGCAAGACUUAUGACUUUCAAACAACAAGUUAUGUUUCAUGGGCAAGAGUCGACACUACCACAUUGUAUUUUAAUUUAUGAGAUAUUUUAUAACUCUUACCUUAGAGGAAAGACUUAGUUCAGGGACUUUCAAACAACAAAUUAUACCCCAUGGGCGAGAG
RNAcentral lists this long non-coding RNA (283 nucleotides) under Capsicum annuum. Its description in RNAcentral is "long non-coding RNA (CANN_LNC012780)". Lineage: Eukaryota; Viridiplantae; Streptophyta; Magnoliopsida; Solanales; Solanaceae. The record is from RNAcentral.